GCCUCGGUGGUGUAGUGGCAUCACGCGUCCCCGGUAUGGAUGAGACGCGGAUUCGACUCCCGCCUGAAGUC
Non-coding RNA from Parelaphostrongylus tenuis, 71 nucleotides. Lineage: Eukaryota; Metazoa; Nematoda; Chromadorea; Rhabditida; Metastrongylidae. The record is from the annotation of a GenBank genome assembly.